Molecule: ribosomal RNA, 1372 nt
Filed under: uncultured bacterium
Lineage: Bacteria
Description: bacterial SSU rRNA
Rfam family: Bacterial small subunit ribosomal RNA
Source: RNAcentral
GAUGAACGCUGGCGGCGUGCCUAAUACAUGCAAGUCGAGCGAACGGACGAGAAGCUUGCUUCUCUGAUGUUAGCGGCGGACGGGUGAGUAACACGUGGAUAACCUACCUAUAAGACUGGGAUAACUUCGGGAAACCGGAGCUAAUACCGGAUAAUAUUUUGAACCGCAUGGUUCAAAAGUGAAAGACGGUCUUGCUGUCACUUAUAGAUGGAUCCGCGCUGCAUUAGCUAGUUGGUAAGGUAACGGCUUACCAAGGCAACGAUGCAUAGCCGACCUGAGAGGGUGAUCGGCCACACUGGAACUGAGACACGGUCCAGACUCCUACGGGAGGCAGCAGUAGGGAAUCUUCCGCAAUGGGCGAAAGCCUGACGGAGCAACGCCGCGUGAGUGAUGAAGGUCUUCGGAUCGUAAAACUCUGUUAUUAGGGAAGAACAUAUGUGUAAGUAACUGUGCACAUCUUGACGGUACCUAAUCAGAAAGCCACGGCUAACUACGUGCCAGCAGCCGCGGUAAUACGUAGGUGGCAAGCGUUAUCCGGAAUUAUUGGGCGUAAAGCGCGCGUAGGCGGUUUUUUAAGUCUGAUGUGAAAGCCCACGGCUCAACCGUGGAGGGUCAUUGGAAACUGGAAAACUUGAGUGCAGAAGAGGAAAGUGGAAUUCCAUGUGUAGCGGUGAAAUGCGCAGAGAUAUGGAGGAACACCUGUGGCGAAGGCGACUUUCUGGUCUGUAACUGACGCUGAUGUGCGAAAGCGUGGGGAUCAAACAGGAUUAGAUACCCUGGUAGUCCACGCCGUAAACGAUGAGUGCUAAGUGUUAGGGGGUUUCCGCCCCUUAGUGCUGCAGCUAACGCAUUAAGCACUCCGCCUGGGGAGUACGACCGCAAGGUUGAAACUCAAAGGAAUUGACGGGGACCCGCACAAGCGGUGGAGCAUGUGGUUUAAUUCGAAGCAACGCGAAGAACCUUACCAAAUCUUGACAUCCUUUGACAACUCUAGAGAUAGAGCCUUCCCCUUCGGGGGACAAAGUGACAGGUGGUGCAUGGUUGUCGUCAGCUCGUGUCGUGAGAUGUUGGGUUAAGUCCCGCAACGAGCGCAACCCUUAAGCUUAGUUGCCAUCAUUAAGUUGGGCACUCUAAGUUGACUGCCGGUGACAAACCGGAGGAAGGUGGGGAUGACGUCAAAUCAUCAUGCCCCUUAUGAUUUGGGCUACACACGUGCUACAAUGGACAAUACAAAGGGCAGCGAAGCCGCGAGGUCAAGCAAAUCCCAUAAAGUUGUUCUCAGUUCGGAUUGUAGUCUGCAACUCGACUACAUGAAGCUGAAAUCGCUAGUAAUCGUAGAUCAGCAUGCUACGGUGAAUACGCUCCCGGGUCU